UUUCCGUAGGUGAACCUGCGGAAGGAUCAUUAGAGAAGUGUGGGCAAGCAAAUGCUUGUACACGUUCGACCAAGAGUACUAGAAUGAGAACUUUGGCGGUUCGUAGCAAAGCUCCAUCGAUGGCAACAUGGGUGUGUAGCUGCCAAAGGAAAAACACUGUCACUUGAGUCUAUGAAGUAAUUAAAUAACAAAAACUUUCAACAACGGAUCUCUUGGUUCUGGUGUCGAUGAAGAACGCAGC
RNAcentral lists this unclassified non-coding RNA (241 nucleotides) under uncultured fungus. Its description in RNAcentral is "sequence contains ITS1, 5.8S rRNA gene". The stretch from base 193 to 241 matches the Rfam family "5.8S ribosomal RNA", at positions 1 to 49 of the family's 154-position model. Lineage: Eukaryota; Fungi. The record is from RNAcentral.